This 440-nucleotide unclassified non-coding RNA is filed under the name Candida albicans. RNAcentral's name for it is "sequence contains 18S rRNA gene, ITS1, 5.8S rRNA gene, ITS2, 28S rRNA gene". The stretch from base 140 to 293 matches the Rfam family "5.8S ribosomal RNA". The record is from RNAcentral. Lineage: Eukaryota; Fungi; Ascomycota; Pichiomycetes; Serinales; Debaryomycetaceae.
CUGAUUUGCUUAAUUGCACCACAUGUGUUUUUCUUUGAAACAAACUUGCUUUGGCGGUGGGCCCAGCCUGCCGCCAGAGGUCUAAACUUGCAACCAAUUUUUUAUCAACUUGUCACACCAGAUUAUUACUAAUAGUCAAAACUUUCAACAACGGAUCUCUUGGUUCUCGCAUCGAUGAAGAACGCAGCGAAAUGCGAUACGUAAUAUGAAUUGCAGAUAUUCGUGAAUCAUCGAAUUUUUGAACGCACAUUGCGCCCUCUGGUAUUCCGGAGGGCAUGCCUGUUUGAGCGUCGUUUCUCCCUCAAACCGCUGGGUUUGGUGUUGAGCAAUACGACUUGGGUUUGCUUGAAAGACGGUAGUGGUAAGGCGGGAUCGCUUUGACAAUGGCUUAGGUCUAACCAAAAACAUUGCUUGCGGCGGUAACGUCUACCACGUAUAUC